This 641-nucleotide ribosomal RNA is filed under the name bacterium 51(2011). Its description in RNAcentral is "bacterial SSU rRNA". It matches the Rfam family "Bacterial small subunit ribosomal RNA", at positions 92 to 766 of the family's 1533-position model. The record is from RNAcentral.
GUAGCGGCAGNACGGGUGAGUAACGCGUGGGGAUACNGCCCAAUGGUACGGAAUAACCCAGGGNAAACUUGGACUAAUACCGUAUGUGCCCUUCGGGGGAAAGAUUUAUCGCCAUUGGAUGAACCCGCGUCGGAUUAGCUAGUUGGUGAGGUAAAGGCUCACCAAGGCGACGAUCCGNANCNGGUCUGAGAGGAUGAUCAGCCACACUGGGACUGAGACACGGCCCAGACUCCUACGGGAGGCAGCAGUGGGGAAUAUUGGACAAUGGGCGCAAGCCUGAUCCAGCCAUGCCGCGUGUGUGAUGAAGGCCUUAGGGUUGUAAAGCACUUUCGCCGGUGAAGAUAAUGACGGUAACCGGAGAAGAAGCCCCGGCUAACUUCGUGCCAGCAGCCGCGGUAAUACGAAGGGGGCAAGCGUUGCUCGGAAUCACUGGGCGUAAAGCGCACGUAGGCGGGUCGUUAAGUCAGGGGUGAAAUCCUGGAGCUCAACUCCAGAACUGCCUUUGAUACUGGCGACCUAGAGUUCGAGAGAGGUUGGUGGAACUCCGAGUGUAGAGGUGAAAUUCGUAGAUAUUCGGAAGAACCCAGUGGCGAAGGCGGCCAACUGGCUCGAUACUGACGCUGAGGUGCGAAAGCGUGGGG